CGGUAAUACGUAGGGUGCGAGCGUUAAUCGGAAUUACUGGGCGUAAAGCGUGCGCAGGCGGAUUGUUAAGCAAGAUGCAGGAUCCCCGGGCUUAACCUGGGAAUGGCAUUUUGAACUGGCAGUCUAGAGUGUGUCAGAGGGGGGUGGAAUUCCACGUGUAGCAGUGAAAUGCGUAGAGAUGUGGAGGAACACCGAUGGCGAAGGCAGCCCCCUGGGAUAACACUGACGCUCAUGUACGAAAGCGUGGGUAGCAAACAGGAUUAGAUACCCUGGUAGUCCACGCCCUAAACGAUGUCAACUGGUUGUUGAGGGAGUGAAAUCCCUUAGCAACGAAGCUAACGCGUGAAGUUGACCGCCUGGGGAGUACGGUCGCAAGAUUAAA
RNAcentral lists this ribosomal RNA (382 nucleotides) under uncultured bacterium. RNAcentral describes it as "bacterial SSU rRNA". It matches the Rfam family "Bacterial small subunit ribosomal RNA", at positions 518 to 898 of the family's 1533-position model. The record is from RNAcentral.